AGAGUUUGAUCCUGGCUCAGAAUGAACGUUGGCGGCGUGGAUUAGGCAUGCGAGUCGUACGAGAACCCGCAAGGGGGAAAGUGGCGAACGGGGUAGUAAUGCGUAGGUGACGUGCCCUGGGGUCGGGGAUAGCUUAGGGAAACUUAAGGUAAUACCCGAUAAUCCCGGUAGGUUUGAAGACCAUCCGGGCAAAGGUGUAAUUCCACCUCAGGAGCGGCUUGCGUGGUAUUAGCUAGUUGGUGAGGUAACGGCUCACCAAGGCUGCGAUGCC
RNAcentral lists this ribosomal RNA (271 nucleotides) under uncultured bacterium. RNAcentral describes it as "partial 16S ribosomal RNA". It matches the Rfam family "Bacterial small subunit ribosomal RNA", at positions 8 to 283 of the family's 1533-position model. The record is from RNAcentral.